Molecule: long non-coding RNA, 1171 nt
Filed under: Marmota monax (woodchuck)
Lineage: Eukaryota; Metazoa; Chordata; Mammalia; Rodentia; Sciuridae
Source: RNAcentral
CUCAGAGGGCGUCACCACUGGGCCGCUGGAGAAGGUUUAGCAGAGAAAGGGCUGAGAAGAAGAGGACUCUCCCUCUCUCCCAAGGCAGCCCUCGAGGUCCUUCCUUCCCCCUGGCAGGGUGGCUUCAUGGGAAGGGCCUUGACUUCCCGGAACUCCAGGCUCCCCAGAUCCAAGUGUGAGAGCGAAAGUAAGUCCUGCAGUCGGGGGGUUGGGGGGGCGUGUUCUCGGGGCUCCCCGGCUGUGGGGCCAGGCCACGCACCUCUCCUCCUUCAGGGACCAAAGCUGGGCUGAGACUACAGCUUAACCCACCGAUGGCAGCUGUAGAUGGACACAAUGACUUUAUUCUGCUUAUUUAUAUCUAUGUGGUGCUGAGACUCGAACCCAGGGCCUCGCACGUGCUAGGUGAGCGCUCUACCACUGGGCCCAGCCCCUGCCCCCAUAUUCUUUUUAAUACCGUGGAUACUCUUAACGCUGCCCAAGGAAGCAGGGAACUUGGGUCCCCUCCCCGCUGUUGCUGCCUGUGUGACGACUCGCUGUCCCCGCCCCUCCUGGGGACUCAGUCUCUCCAUCCGUCUGUGAGCAGUGUGGACGCGCUGCCUCCUACACAGGGGAACAUCAGUGUUGGCUGCAGGGCUCUUGCCAGUGUGGACGUCCAGGCUCCGUCCCCAGCCGUCCUGGCCAGCGGACCGGGAGCUGCCCCAGGGAUCUGCAUUAAAAGCAGCGUCUCCGUAGGUGGUUCUGACGCCCGAGCCCCGGGAGGGACCGCAGUUAGCAGAACCAGUCGGCAUCCCCAAGUGCUCAGCCCUCCUGAGCCCAGAGGGUGUUUUGGCAAAUGCAAGCCCCCGUCCCUCUGAGGUGCCACGUCCCUCUGAGGUGCUGCGUGGGUGGCUUCCACCCAGAUGGAGAUGCCACCGGCCACCCUGGCCGAGUCACUCCCCCUCUCAUGCUGUCUCUGCUCCUGUCCCUUGAUGGAUGGCCGGGAAGACAGGUCCACGGCCUUGGUGCUCGGCCUUGGAUGCUUUAUCUGCCUGGUCCCAGGCUGAGCAGCAGGACAGCUCCAUCCCCCCUAGCCCCCAUCCCUGCUUCCUGCCUCCCCUGCCACCUCUCUGAAGAACAGCUCUGCUGCAGCCACUGCGUCCUGACUGCAGGCGCUGUGUCCAGGACCCCUCCC